GUGGUGUUUGGAUCGUCCCUGCCGGCUGGCUCCGUGCCCGUCCACCGAACGGUCGGCAGGCGAUCUGCGUCGGUCUCGCUGGGUGGUAUGGUUCCCCAGAGGCCGGUUCUUGUGCUGCCUACCCCUACAGGGGAAGCGGGCCGCUCGAUGAUGUAAGCCUCCAUCCGGCACCCUCCAACGGGCGCAGGAGGACAACGUAGCACCCCCGCGCUCCAUCAAGCCCAUAUCGGUCGCGUGGCGCGCGGGGCCGUGCGAUGCUCUCGGACCCAACGAACGCCGUGGGCGAGGACUCACGUCCCGGUCCCGAUAGAAGCUCCCACAAAAUGCAUGACGGCCGCUCCCGUCCCAUGAC
RNAcentral lists this unclassified non-coding RNA (352 nucleotides) under Acacia celsa. Its description in RNAcentral is "partial external transcribed spacer". Lineage: Eukaryota; Viridiplantae; Streptophyta; Magnoliopsida; Fabales; Fabaceae. The record is from RNAcentral.